This 253-nucleotide ribosomal RNA is filed under the name uncultured bacterium. RNAcentral's name for it is "partial 16S ribosomal RNA". It matches the Rfam family "Bacterial small subunit ribosomal RNA", at positions 524 to 776 of the family's 1533-position model. The record is from RNAcentral.
UACGUAGGGCGCAAGCGUUGUCUGGAAUUAUUGGGCGUAAAGAGCUCGUAGGCGGCUUGUCACGUCUGCUGUGAAAUCCCGGGGCUCAACCCCGGGCGUGCAGUGGAUACGGGCUGGCUAGAGGCAGGCAGGGGAGAACGGAAUUCCCGGUGUAGCGGUGAAAUGCGCAGAUAUCGGGAGGAACACCGGUGGCGAAGGCGGUUCUCUGGGCCUGUUCUGACGCUGAGGAGCGGAAGCGUGGGGAGCGAACAGG